AUUGAACGCUGGCGGCAUGCUUUACACAUGCAAGUCGAACGGCAGCGCGGGCUUCGGCCUGGCGGCGAGUGGCGAACGGGUGAGUAAUACAUCGGAACGUGCCCCGUAGUGGGGGAUAGCUCGGCGAAAGCCGGAUUAAUACCGCAUACGACCUGAGGGUGAAAGCGGGGGAUCUUCGGACCUCGCGCUAUUGGAGCGGCCGAUGGCAGAUUAGCUAGUUGGUGGGGUAAAGGCCUACCAAGGCGACGAUCUGUAGCUGGUCUGAGAGGACGACCAGCCACACUGGGACUGAGACAAGGCCCAGACUCCUACGGGAGGCAGCAGUGGGGAAUUUUGGACAAUGGGCGAAAGCCUGAUCCAGCAAUGCCGCGUGUGUGAUGAAGGCCUUCGGGUUGUAAAGCACUUUUGGCGGGAACGAAAAGGACUGUGCCAAUACCACGGUUCGAUGACGGUACCCGCAGAAUAAGCACCGGCUAACUACGUG
Molecule: ribosomal RNA, 484 nt
Filed under: uncultured bacterium
Lineage: Bacteria
Description: partial 16S ribosomal RNA
Rfam family: Bacterial small subunit ribosomal RNA
Source: RNAcentral